RNAcentral lists this ribosomal RNA (765 nucleotides) under fungal sp. RNAcentral's name for it is "eukaryotic LSU rRNA". The stretch from base 505 to 765 matches the Rfam family "Eukaryotic large subunit ribosomal RNA", at positions 1 to 258 of the family's 3401-position model. Lineage: Eukaryota; Fungi. The record is from RNAcentral.
AUUACUGAGUGAGGGCCCCUCGGGGUCCAACCUCCCACCCGUGUUUAACGUACCUUGUUGCUUCGGCGGGCCCGCCUCACGGCCGCCGGGGGGCAUCCGCCCCCGGGCCCGCGCCCGCCGAAGCCACCUGUGAACGCUGUCUGAAGUAUGCAGUCUGAGACAAUUAUUAAAUUAAUUAAAACUUUCAACAACGGAUCUCUUGGUUCCGGCAUCGAUGAAGAACGCAGCGAAAUGCGAUAACUAAUGUGAAUUGCAGAAUUCAGUGAAUCAUCGAGUCUUUGAACGCACAUUGCGCCCUCUGGUAUUCCGGAGGGCAUGCCUGUCCGAGCGUCAUUGCUGCCCUCCAGCCCGGCUGGUGUGUUGGGCCCCGCCCCCCUUCCCGGGGGGGCGGGCCCGAAAGGCAGCGGCGGCACCGCGUCCGGUCCUCGAGCGUAUGGGGCUUUGUCACCCGCUCUUGCAGGCCCGGCCGGCGCCAGCCGACCCCCUCAAUCUAUUUUUUCAGGUUGACCUCGGAUCAGGUAGGGAUACCCGCUGAACUUAAGCAUAUCAAUAAGCGGAGGAAAAGAAACCAACCGGGAUUGCCCUAGUAACGGCGAGUGAAGCGGCAAGAGCUCAAAUUUGAAAGCUGGCUCCUUCGGGGUCCGCAUUGUAAUUUGCAGAGGAUGCUUCGGGAGCGGUCCCCAUCUAAGUGCCCUGGAACGGGCCGUCAUAGAGGGUGAGAAUCCCGUAUGGGAUGGGGUGCCCGCGCCCGUGUGAAGCUCCUUC